AGGGGUCGAUGAGUCGCAUAAAAGGCUGUGGUAAUGCCUUCUCUCGGAGUCGUUGAGUCGCAGGCUCCAGAUUUUGACCAGCGCGUCUUGGCUAAUUGUCGAUUUAACCGAUUUUAGGAUAACCGUCGAUUAAUUAAGACGAAGAGCCGGAAAGUCGCGGGAGCCAUCGGGAUCUUAGGGAGAAUUUCGAGGCCCAUUUAGGCCCGUUUAGGCUUUAAUAAUGAUACCUCGAAUUUUUCCCCCUUUUUCCUUCAUAAAUGCAUCGAGAAGUCGAAACGCCGCGAGAGCCGGCUGGGUUUUUAGGGAGAAUUUCGAGG
This 317-nucleotide long non-coding RNA is filed under the name Brassica napus (rape). Its description in RNAcentral is "long non-coding RNA (BNAP_LNC002951)". The record is from RNAcentral. Lineage: Eukaryota; Viridiplantae; Streptophyta; Magnoliopsida; Brassicales; Brassicaceae.